UCUAGAACUCGAGAUAUAGGCUGAACACUGAACAGUGUCCGGGCUGCAGGACAGAUUCCAACUUCUCCGUUGUUGCUACAAUUUGAACUUGAAAAACAUCCUUUUUGAAUCUUGGACUCUUCAUGAAAGUUUUAGGCCUAUGUCUUAGCUUUCUAUU
Molecule: non-coding RNA, 157 nt
Organism: Populus trichocarpa (black cottonwood)
Lineage: Eukaryota; Viridiplantae; Streptophyta; Magnoliopsida; Malpighiales; Salicaceae
Source: Rfam